CUUGCUGGAGUACAACUACAGGAGCUGUAUAUAUGUGUGUAGAGGACAAAGUUUUCCUCUCGUAUUCUUCUGUUGCUGGUUCUUCUGUUUCAACACUGACCUGAGGAGAAGCUCCAAGGGAUGAAAG
Molecule: long non-coding RNA, 127 nt
Organism: Lagopus leucura (white-tailed ptarmigan)
Lineage: Eukaryota; Metazoa; Chordata; Aves; Galliformes; Phasianidae
Exons: 3
Source: RefSeq, a predicted model, not a curated record